GACGAACGCUGGCGGCGUGCUUAACACAUGCAAGUCGAACGAUGAAGCCUAGCUUGCUAGGUGGAUUAGUGGCGAACGGGUGAGUAAUACGUGAGUAACCUACCUUUAACUCUGGGAUAAGCCUGGGAAACUGGGUCUAAUACAGGAUACAACCAAUCUCGGCAUGGGGUGUUGGUGGAAAGCGUUAUGUGGUGGUUAUAGAUGGGCUCACGGCCUAUCAGCUUGUUGGUGAGGUAACGGCUCACCAAGGCGACGACGGGUAGCCGGCCUGAGAGGGUGACCGGCCACACUGGGACUGAGACACGGCCCAGACUCCUACGGGAGGCAGCAGUGGGGAAUAUUGCACAAUGGGCGGAAGCCUGAUGCAGCGACGCCGCGUGAGGGAUGACGGCCUUCGGGUUGUAAACCUCUGUUAGCAGGGAAGAAGAGAGAUUGACGGUACCUGCAGAGAAAGCGCCGGCUAACUACGUG
Molecule: ribosomal RNA, 471 nt
Filed under: uncultured bacterium
Lineage: Bacteria
Description: partial 16S ribosomal RNA
Rfam family: Bacterial small subunit ribosomal RNA
Source: RNAcentral